GGUGGCGAUUAUACUGGUGUUGUCCCACCUGUUCCCAUUCCGAACACAGCAGUGAAAUACACCAAGGCCGAUGAUAUUCGGGUUUCCCGGAGAAAGUAGGUAGUCGCCACCA
This 112-nucleotide ribosomal RNA is filed under the name Candidatus Portnoybacteria bacterium CG_4_10_14_0_8_um_filter_40_50. The record is from RNAcentral. RNAcentral also lists the same sequence under 4 other names. Lineage: Bacteria; Candidatus Portnoyibacteriota.